RNAcentral lists this ribosomal RNA (436 nucleotides) under uncultured bacterium. Its description in RNAcentral is "partial 16S ribosomal RNA". It matches the Rfam family "Bacterial small subunit ribosomal RNA", at positions 28 to 506 of the family's 1533-position model. The record is from RNAcentral.
GAUGAACGCUGGCGGCAUGCCUAACACAUGCAAGUCGGACGGGCAGUGGUGUUUCUUGCGGCGGACGGGUGAGCAACGCGUAAGAACCUGCCCCUGGGAGGGGAACAAUAGCUGGCAACGGCUGCUACUACAACGUAGGCUGAGGAGCAAAAGGAGGAAUCCUCCCGAGGAGGGGCUUGCGUCGGAUUAGCUAGUUGGUGAGGCAAUAGCUUACCGAGGCGAUGAUCAGUAGCUGGGGAGAGAGGAUGAGCAGCCGCACUGGGACUGAGGCACGAGCCGGACUCCUACGGGAAUGGGCGGAAGGGUGAUGGCCGCAAGGGGCGUGAGCCUGACGAGGCAAUGCCGCGUGAAAGUAGAAUACCCGGGGAGCGUAAACGUCUUUGUCCGGAGGAGAGGCAAGAACGUAAUCUGUGGAAUAGGCAUCGGCAAACUCGGG